AACGCACGAGACCUGCGGACCUGCGGAGGGAUCAUUACCGAGUUAUCAACUCCCAAACCCCUGUGAACAUACCCGAACGUUGCCUCGGCGGGACCGCCCCGGCGCCCCUAGCGGCCCGGAACCAGGCGCCCGCCGGAGGACCCAAACUCUUGCUUUAAACAGUGGCAUACUCUCUGAGUCUCACAAACAAAAAAUAAAUCAAAACUUUUAGCAAUGGAUCUCUAGAUCGGAAGAGCACAC
Molecule: unclassified non-coding RNA, 240 nt
Filed under: soil metagenome
Description: partial contains 5.8S ribosomal RNA, internal transcribed spacer 2, and large subunit ribosomal RNA
Source: RNAcentral